UACGUAGGUGACAAGCGUUGUCCGGAUUUACUGGGCGUAAAGAGUGCGCAGGCGGUCGAUCAAGUCGAGUGUGAAAGCCCCCGGCUCAACUGGGGAGGGUCAUUCGAUACUGAUCGACUCGAAGGCAGGAGAGGGUAGUGGAAUUCCCGGUGUAGUGGUGAAAUGCGUAGAUAUCGGGAGGAACACCAGUGGCGAAGGCGACUACCUGGCCUGUUCUUGACGCUGAGGCGCGAAAGCUAGGGGAGCAAACGGG
Molecule: ribosomal RNA, 253 nt
Filed under: uncultured bacterium
Lineage: Bacteria
Description: partial 16S ribosomal RNA
Rfam family: Bacterial small subunit ribosomal RNA
Source: RNAcentral